Molecule: ribosomal RNA, 422 nt
Filed under: uncultured prokaryote
Description: bacterial SSU rRNA
Rfam family: Bacterial small subunit ribosomal RNA
Source: RNAcentral
UGAGGAAUAUUGGUCAAUGGGCGCAAGCCUGAACCAGCCAUCCCGCGUGAAGGAAGACUGCCCUAUGGGUUGUAAACUUCUUUUCCAGUGGAAUAAAAUGCUUUACGUGUAAGGCACUGAAGGUACUCUGGGAAUAAGCAUCGGCUAACUCCGUGCCAGCAGCCGCGGUAAUACGGAGGAUGCGAGCGUUAUCCGGAUUUAUUGGGUUUAAAGGGUGCGUAGGCGGAUUAAUAAGUCAGUGGUGAAAACCUGCAGCUUAACUGUAGAACUGCCAUUGAUACUGUUAGUCUUGAGUACGGUCAAGGUAGGCGGAAUGUGUAAUGUAGCGGUGAAAUGCUUAGAUAUUACACAGAACACCGAUUGCGAAGGCAGCUUACUGGGCCAUUACUGACGCUGAUGCACGAAAGCGUGGGGAGCGAACA